CCGGAGACUGGGUUGAACUGAGGUAGCGUUAAGGUAAUAAAAAGAAACGAUAAGAUCCUGUAGAUAUGAAUUGGAAGAAGUGCACUGUGCCUGCAAAUUGGCACAAUUGUGGCUAACCAUGCUAAGAUGCUGAUGGAUCACUGACAGCAGUAUCUCUGAAACUUGACCAGUCUAUCAGCAGUGCAAACAGUUGAAGACCAAUGGACCACUACCAAUAGCAAAUUGGAUGGUGUUUUGAAAAGUCAAGACGGGUGAUUGAAGUUGGCAAUUUCAGAAUCCAGAUCAUAUGCACUGCUCACUAAUGGGCCAUGCCAUCUUGUAUGUUCCACAGGUGCCAUGGUAACUAAUGGAAUACUGACUAGCAGCCCAGAUUAUAUUUCAGCAUCAACUUGUGGCAGGCUAAUGGUUAUGAAUUUGGAUGAAUUCUGAAACUGGUACAGAAUGGUUGAUCCAAUCCUUAAUUGCAACACCGCUAACUGCUUGAGAUGCACAUUCAGGAUGUUUUAUCUGUGCUUUGUCUGUUUUUGAAUAAAAGUUCAUUUUAAUGUA
Hemiscyllium ocellatum (epaulette shark) is the source of this 549-nucleotide long non-coding RNA. RefSeq lists it as uncharacterized. The transcript is spliced from 6 exons. Lineage: Eukaryota; Metazoa; Chordata; Chondrichthyes; Orectolobiformes; Hemiscylliidae. The record is from RefSeq and is a predicted model, not a curated record.